ACAACAUGCAAGAAAAGAUAAGUAAUAUCAGCAGAGAGGUGGAAACUAUACGAAAUAAUCAAGAAGAAAUGAUACAGAGUAAAGACAUUGUAUCAGGAAUAAAGAAUGGUUUUGAUGGGCUCAUUAGUAAACUGGAUGUGGCUGAGGAAUGAGUCUCUGAACUUGAAUAUAUGGUAAUAGAAACUUUUAAAAUUGAAAAACAAAAAGAAACCAUAGUGAAAAACAAAACACAACAGGCUAACCAAGAACUAUGGGAAACUACAAAAGAGAUAGCAUACAAAUAAUAGGAAUACCAGAAAAAGAGAAAGGAACAGAAGAAAUAUCUGAAGCAAUGACUGAGAAUUUCGCCCAAAUUAGUGUCAGACAUCAAACCACAGAUGCUGGAAGCUCAGAGAACAGAAAGCAGGAUAAAAUACCAAAAAUCACUAUACCAAGGCAGAUUAUAUCCAAAUUUCAAAAGUACAGAAGAUCAUGAAAAAAAAUCUUGAAAGGAGUCAGAGGGAAAAACACUUUACAGAGAAGCAGAUACAAGAAUUAUACCUGAGUUCUUUAUAGAAAGUAUGUGAUAUGGUUUGGUUCUGUGUCCCCACCCAGUCUCGCCUUGGAUUGUAAUCCCCAUAAUCCCUAUGUGUCAAGGGCAGGAUCGAGUGGAGGUAAUUGGAUCAUGGGUGUGGUUUUCCCCAUGCUGUUCUAAUGAUAGUGAGUUCUCAAAAGAUCUGAUCGUUUUAUAAGUGUACUCACUCUGUCUUGCUGCCCUGUGUAGAAGGUGCCUGCUUCUCCUUUGCCUUUUGCCAUGAUUGUAAGUUUCCUGAAGCCUCCCCAGCAAUGCCAAACUGCUCCACUAGUAGAGAGCAGAGAAGGGGAAAAGAGGAGAAGCAGCUGGACGUCGGAGACUGUGGCUUGACAUUGGAGAGAAGCAGCUUGACCUCAGAGGGACAGCUUGACGGCGAGACUUCGGAGAAGAGUAUGACCGGAGAUGGCUGGACUUCAGGGGACGAAUACCUUCCCACUCCAUCUCCUUUACAGCUUCCCAUCCCGCUGAGAACCACUUCCAUCAGCAAUAAAAUCCCCCCGGCAUUUAUUAUCCUUCAUGUGACCUGACUUUUCCUGGACACCAGACAAGAGCUCGGGAUACAGAAAGCUGUCACACUGACCCUCUACCCUCGCUAAAAGGCAGAGGGUCCGCUGAGCUGUUGAACACUUAAGCCAUCUAUGGACAGCAAAACUAAAAGAACACUGUAACACAUGCGCUCUGAGGCGUCGGGGGUCACAGGCACCUCCCUAGAGGGGGGCAGCGCAGAGUUUUACUCCUGCCAGCACCCAAAAGUGUUCGCUCCAGCUCCUGCACCCAUUCACUUGCAUGCUCCCCCUCCCGUGAGGGGUUGAGAGCUGCAAGCAGAGUAAGCGAGGCAUCCCUGUCGUGAGUCCCAUGAAAGGGGACAAGGAAAAUUUCCUGUUUCAUCAUGACAUAUACCAGCAAGUUUCAUCAGCAAAAGGAAUUAAAAAACGAAAUAAGUACUGUAUCUUCCAGAUAUUGUCAUAUAAGGAAAAAGUGUAAGUAUUAUAAAUGUAAGAAAACAGAUGGUCAAUUAAAUUUUUUAAAACCGUAAGGUAGAAUGAAAUGUACAAUAAAGAUAUUUCAGUCAACGGGAGGCAGAAUGUUUAAGGUGUAGCUAUGCAAAUCCUCUCAUCUUUUAGUUGUAGAUAAAUGUUUUAUAUAUGAUAAAAUAUUAAACGUCAUGAGCAUCUUGACUAAAUGAUGAUAGACCUAAUUCUUGCUUGGUUAUUUAGCCAAUAACAUAUUGAUGUUGAUGGUUUCAGCUAUUAACUGCACCAAGCAAAAAAUCUUGCUUCUUUUUAACCUGCAGCACUAAAAGCUAAAAUGUAUUUCAUAAGUGACUUCUGCCUUGAUUAUCAUCAUUAACAUAUAAAAGGGUA
RNAcentral lists this long non-coding RNA (1938 nucleotides) under Papio anubis (olive baboon). RNAcentral's name for it is "lncRNA (ENSPANG00000044851.1)". The record is from RNAcentral. Lineage: Eukaryota; Metazoa; Chordata; Mammalia; Primates; Cercopithecidae.